Molecule: small nucleolar RNA, 136 nt
Organism: Larimichthys crocea (large yellow croaker)
Lineage: Eukaryota; Metazoa; Chordata; Actinopteri; Sciaenidae
Source: Ensembl
AUCCUCCUAAUGCUUACCACAGACAGUACACCAUAGAGUGCUGGCUGUAUAGAAACAGGAGGGACAUUAACCUCUCCUGACAAACCUGCUCUGCCAGCUGUUGUCUGGUGGGGCAGUGUUGUUAGGUGGGACAUCC